Molecule: ribosomal RNA, 450 nt
Filed under: uncultured bacterium
Lineage: Bacteria
Description: bacterial SSU rRNA
Rfam family: Bacterial small subunit ribosomal RNA
Source: RNAcentral
GAUGAACGCUGGCGGCGUGCCUAACACAUGCAAGUCGAGCGAAGCGGUUUUAAGGAAGUUUUCGGAUGGAAUUAAAACUGACUGAGCGGCGGACGGGUGAGUAACGCGUGGGUAACCUGCCUCAUACAGGGGGAUAACAGUUAGAAAUGGCUGCUAAUACCGCAUAAGCACACAGCUUCGCAUGGAGCAGUGUGAAAAACUCCGGUGGUAUGAGAUGGACCCGCGUCUGAUUAGCUAGUUGGUAAGGUAACGGCUUACCAAGGCGACGAUCAGUAGCCGACCUGAGAGGGUGACCGGCCACAUUGGGACUGAGACACGGCCCAAACUCCUACGGGAGGCAGCAGUGGGGAAUAUUGCACAAUGGGGGAAACCCUGAUGCAGCGACGCCGCGUGAGUGAAGAAGUAUCUCGGUAUGUAAAGCUCUAUCAGCAGGGAAGAAAAUGACGGUAC